Molecule: ribosomal RNA, 465 nt
Filed under: uncultured bacterium
Lineage: Bacteria
Description: partial 16S ribosomal RNA
Rfam family: Bacterial small subunit ribosomal RNA
Source: RNAcentral
CUACGGGGGGCUGCAGUGAGGAAUAUUGCGCAAUGGGGGAAACCCUGACGCAGCGACGCCGCGUGGAUGAUGAAGGCCUUCGGGUCGUAAAAUCCUGUCAGAAGGAAAGAAGUGUAUGGUAGCUAAUAUCUGCCAUACUUGACGGUACCUUCAAAGGAAGCACCGGCUAACUCCGUGCCAGCAGCCGCGGUAAUACGGAGGGUGCAAGCGUUGUUCGGAAUUACUGGGCGUAAAGCGCGCGUAGGCGGUUUUAUAAGUCAGAUGUGAAAGUCCACGGCUCAACCAUGGAAGUGCAUUUGAAACUGUAAGACUUGAGUAUUGGAGGGGGGAGUGGAAUUCCCGGUGUAGAGGUGAAAUUCGUAGAUAUCGGGAGGAAUACCGGUGGCGAAGGCGACUAUCUGGCCAAAUACUGACGCUGAGGUGCGAAAGCGUGGGGAGCAAGCAGGAUUAGAUACCCUAGUAGUC